GAUGAACGCUAGCGGCAGGCUUAACACAUGCAAGUCGAGGGGUAUAGGGAGCUUGCUUCCUAGAGACCGGCGCACGGGUGCGUAACGCGUAUGCAAUCUACCUUUUGCAGAGGGAUAGCCCAGAGAAAUUUGGAUUAAUACCUCAUAGUAUAGCAGUUUCGCAUGAAACCACUAUUAAAGUCACAACGGCAAAAGAUGAGCAUGCGUCCCAUUAGCUUGUUGGUAAGGUAACGGCUUACCAAGGCUACGAUGGGUAGGGGUCCUGAGAGGGAGAUCCCCCACACUGGUACUGAGACACGGACCAGACUCCUACGGGAGGCAGCAGUGAGGAAUAUUGGACAAUGGGCGCAAGCCUGAUCCAGCCAUGCCGCGUGCAGGAUGACGGUCCUAUGGAUUGUAAACUGCUUUUAUACAGGAAGAAACACUACUUCGUGAAUAGCUUGACGGUACUGAAGUAAUAAGGAUCGGCUAACUCCGUGCCAG
RNAcentral lists this ribosomal RNA (483 nucleotides) under uncultured bacterium. Its description in RNAcentral is "bacterial SSU rRNA". It matches the Rfam family "Bacterial small subunit ribosomal RNA", at positions 28 to 511 of the family's 1533-position model. The record is from RNAcentral.